UACUAAUCUUUUGUGGGGUAACACAC
RNAcentral lists this unclassified non-coding RNA (26 nucleotides) under Mus musculus (house mouse). RNAcentral's name for it is "oocyte_clustered_small_RNA4613". The record is from RNAcentral. Lineage: Eukaryota; Metazoa; Chordata; Mammalia; Rodentia; Muridae.